GACGAACGCUGGCGGCGUGCCUAAUACAUGCAAGUCGAGCGAAGUUUUUCUGGUGCUUGCACUAGAAAAACUUAGCGGCGAACGGGUGAGUAACACGUAAAGAACCUGCCUCAUAGACUGGGACAACUAUUGGAAACGAUAGCUAAUACCGGAUAACAGUAUUUCUCGCAUGAGAGAUAUUUAAAAGUUGGUUAUGCUAACACUAUGAGAUGGCUUUGCGGUGCAUUAGCUAGUUGGUGGGGUAAAGGCCCACCAAGGCGACGAUGCAUAGCCGACCUGAGAGGGUGAUCGGCCACACUGGGACUGAGACACGGCCCAGACUCCUACGGGAGGCAGCAGUAGGGAAUCUUCCGCAAUGGGCGAAAGCCUGACGGAGCAACGCCGCGUGAGUGAAGAAGGAUUUCGGUUCGUAAAGCUCUGUUGUUAGGGAAGAAUGGAUAUGUAGUAACUAUACAUGUAAGAGACGGUACCUAACCAGAAAGCAACGGCUAACUACGUG
This 499-nucleotide ribosomal RNA is filed under the name uncultured bacterium. RNAcentral describes it as "partial 16S ribosomal RNA". It matches the Rfam family "Bacterial small subunit ribosomal RNA", at positions 28 to 507 of the family's 1533-position model. The record is from RNAcentral.